UUUAUGCUCUUGUAAAAUGGGAUUGUUUUCUUUAUUUCUCCUUCAGAUAUUUUGUUAGUGCAACUAAAUUUCAUGUUGAUUUUGUGUCCUGGGAUUGGAUAAAGAGUAAAAUGGAGAGACACAUACUUCUUUUAUAUUGAUAACACUCCGAAGACCUCGGGAAGGAAUGUGCGUGUGUACAGAACCCCUGACAUCUGGAAGAUCUCCCUCUCAGCCAUUCCAGAAGCUGAGGUGCAGGACGGAUCCUUCCCCGGAAUGUACAUUUUACCAUUCUUACUACAAUCUUAAAGAAUGGUAAAAGGUGUGCACCCUCCACUUGUGUUCUGGAUCCUACAACCUCUUACCUUAUAUACCAACUAUCAUUCUCUUCUAUGUUUCCAACUUCUCCUCCUGAGCAUACACUCAUGCGUGUUUUGCAUCUUUAAACAAAGAAGCAAACUUGAUCCUAUUCUCCACUUUACUGUUUUGGGUGUCCUCUUCUGGCCCGAGCCAACCCUCGAACAGAACAGGUAAUUUCUGUAUCGCCAUUCUCACAUGUCAGAGUUCCUCACAUGACAGUACCUCACCCAUCCUACUGAAACUCCUCCUCCAAAGUCACCACGGCCAGAUUCAAUGGAUACUUUUCAGGCGCCUCUUUCUUAUUGAAUAUAAAGAAAUUGAAGCCCAGAGGAGCUGAGUAACUUGUCCAAGGCAUGAUGGGUGUUAAGCAACAAAGUCAGACCCGAACUAAGAACAAGUAGAAAGUGUCGACAGAGUGUAAAUAAAUCUGGAGGCUCCACUAAAAUGAAAUGACAAAGUUUUAUUCAAGAAGCUCAAGACUUGCAAAUCUGUCAACACUACCAG
This is a long non-coding RNA of Myotis davidii, 843 nucleotides long. RefSeq lists it as uncharacterized. Lineage: Eukaryota; Metazoa; Chordata; Mammalia; Chiroptera; Vespertilionidae. The transcript has 6 exons. The record is from RefSeq and is a predicted model, not a curated record.